Molecule: RNase P RNA, 377 nt
Filed under: uncultured Mobiluncus sp.
Lineage: Bacteria; Bacillati; Actinomycetota; Actinomycetes; Actinomycetales; Actinomycetaceae
Description: Bacterial RNase P class A
Rfam family: Bacterial RNase P class A
About the family: Ribonuclease P (RNase P) is a ubiquitous endoribonuclease, found in archaea, bacteria and eukarya as well as chloroplasts and mitochondria. Its best characterised activity is the generation of mature 5'-ends of tRNAs by cleaving the 5'-leader elements of precursor-tRNAs.
Source: RNAcentral
AGCCGGGCGGGUAAUCGCGGGUCGCAGCCCAAGGGCGGCGACGCGAGGAAAGUCCGGACUCCACAGGGCAGGGUGGUGGCUAACGGCCACCCGGGGCGACCCGCGGGAAAGUGCCACAGAAAAGAAACCGCCGCCACCGCCAAGCGGUUGCGGUAAGGGUGAAACGGCGAGGUAAGAGCUCACCGCGCGACUGGUGACAGUCGUGGCAGGGCAAACCCCACCCGGAGCAAGGCCAAGCAGCAGGCUGGGCGGCCCGUCCUCGGCUUGCGGGUAGGCUGCUGGAGGCGCGCGGCAACGCGCGUCCUAGAGAAAUGAUUACCGGGACGUCGCUAGGUAACGAAGGCGUCUUACAGAAUCCGGCUUAUGCCCCGGCUUUU